Molecule: ribosomal RNA, 400 nt
Filed under: uncultured bacterium
Lineage: Bacteria
Description: bacterial SSU rRNA
Rfam family: Bacterial small subunit ribosomal RNA
Source: RNAcentral
AAUGGGCGAAAGCCUGACGCAGCGACGCCGCGUGGGGGAUGAAGGUCUUCGGAUUGUAAACCCCUUUCGGGAGGGAAGAUGGAGCGAGCAAUCGUUCGGACGGUACCUCCAGAAGCAGCCACGGCUAACUUCGUGCCAGCAGCCGCGGUAAUACGAAGGUGGCAAGCGUUGUUCGGAUUCACUGGGCGUACAGGGAGCGUAGGCGGUUGGGUAAGCCCUCCGUGAAAUCUCCGGGCCUAACCCGGAAAGUGCAGAGGGGACUGCUCAGCUAGAGGAUGGGAGAGGAGCGCGGAAUUCCCGGUGUAGCGGUGAAAUGCGUAGAGAUCGGGAGGAAGGCCGGUGGCGAAGGCGGCGCUCUGGAACAUUUCUGACGCUGAGGCUCGAAAGCGUGGGGAGCAAA